RNAcentral lists this ribosomal RNA (574 nucleotides) under Heniochus acuminatus (pennant coralfish). RNAcentral's name for it is "partial 16S ribosomal RNA". It matches the Rfam family "Bacterial large subunit ribosomal RNA", at positions 1817 to 2597 of the family's 2925-position model. RNAcentral also lists the same sequence under 1 other name. The record is from RNAcentral. Lineage: Eukaryota; Metazoa; Chordata; Actinopteri; Chaetodontiformes; Chaetodontidae.
CGCCUCUUGCAAAACCAACGAAUAAGAGGUCCCGCCUGCCCUGUGACUAUAUGUUCAACGGCCGCGGUAUUUUGACCGUGCGAAGGUAGCGUAAUCACUUGUCUUUUAAAUGGGGACCUGUAUGAAUGGCACAACGAGGGCUCGACUGUCUCCUUUUUCUGGUCAAUGAAAUUGAUCUUCCCGUGCAGAAGCGGGAAUAUUAACAUAAGACGAGAAGACCCUAUGGAGCUUUAGAUAACAAGGCAGACUGUGUUAAACACCCUUAUAAAAUAGGCCAAACUAGCUGAAAACUGCCCGAAUGUCUUUGGUUGGGGCGACCGCGGCGAAACAAAAAACCCCCGUGUAGAAAGAGGGAACCACCCUCCAAACCAAGAGCUCCCACUCUAAUAAACAGAAUAUCUGACCCAUAAGAUCCGGCAAUGCCGAUUAACGGACCGAGUUACCCUAGGGAUAACAGCGCAAUCCCCUUCUAGAGUUCAUAUCGACAAGGGGGCUUACGACCUCGAUGUUGGAUCAGGACAUCCUAAUGGUGCAGCCGCUAUUAAGGGUUCGUUUGUUCAACGAUUAAAGUCCU